Molecule: ribosomal RNA, 427 nt
Filed under: uncultured Rhizobacter sp.
Lineage: Bacteria; Pseudomonadati; Pseudomonadota; Betaproteobacteria; Burkholderiales; Sphaerotilaceae
Description: bacterial SSU rRNA
Rfam family: Bacterial small subunit ribosomal RNA
Source: RNAcentral
UGGGGAAUUUUGGACAAUGGGCGCAAGCCUGAUCCAGCCAUGCCGCGUGCGGGAAGAAGGCCUUCGGGUUGUAAACCGCUUUUGUCAGGGAAGAAACGGUCUGAACUAAUACUUUGGACUAAUGACGGUACCUGAAGAAUAAGCACCGGCUAACUACGUGCCAGCAGCCGCGGUAAUACGUAGGGUGCAAGCGUUAAUCGGAAUUACUGGGCGUAAAGCGUGCGCAGGCGGCUAUGCAAGACAGAUGUGAAAUCCCCGGGCUCAACCUGGGAACUGCAUUUGUGACUGCAUGGCUAGAGUACGGUAGAGGGGGAUGGAAUUCCGCGUGUAGCAGUGAAAUGCGUAGAUAUGCGGAGGAACACCGAUGGCGAAGGCAAUCCCCUGGACCUGUACUGACGCUCAUGCACGAAAGCGUGGGGAGCAAACA